UACGGAGGGGGCUAGCGUUGUUCGGAAUUACUGGGCGUAAAGCGCGCGUAGGCGGCUUGGCAAGUUGGGGGUGAAAGCCCGAAGCUCAACUUCGGAAUUGCCCUCAAAACUGCCUGGCUAGAGGCAGAGAGAGGAGAGCGGAAGAUCCAGUGUAGAGGUGAAAUUCGUAGAUAUUGGAUGGAACACCGGUGGCGAAGGCGGCUCUCUGGCUCUGUACUGACGCUGAGGUGCGAAAGCGUGGGGAGCAAACAGG
RNAcentral lists this ribosomal RNA (253 nucleotides) under uncultured bacterium. RNAcentral describes it as "partial 16S ribosomal RNA". It matches the Rfam family "Bacterial small subunit ribosomal RNA", at positions 524 to 776 of the family's 1533-position model. The record is from RNAcentral.